ACGGGAGGCAGCAGUAGGGAAUCUUCCACAAUGGACGAAAGUCUGAUGGAGCAACGCCGCGUGAGUGAUGAAGGAUUUCGGUUCGUAAAACUCUGUUGCAAGGGAAGAACAAGUAGCGUAGUAACUGGCGCUACCUUGACGGUACCUUGUUAGAAAGCCACGGCUAACUACGUGCCAGCAGCCGCGGUAAUACGUAGGUGGCAAGCGUUGUCCGGAAUUAUUGGGCGUAAAGCGCGCGCGGGUGGUUUCUUAAGUCUGAUGUGAAAGCCCCCGGCUCAACCGGGGAGGGUCAUUGGAAACUGGGAGACUUGAGUGCAGAAGAGGAAAGUGGAAUUCCAAGUGUAGCGGUGAAAUGCGUAGAGAUUUGGAGGAACACCAGUGGCGAAGGCGGCUUACUGGACUGUAACUGACGUUGAGGCUCGAAAGCGUGGGGAGCAAACAGGAUUAGAUACCCUGGUA
This 459-nucleotide ribosomal RNA is filed under the name uncultured Caryophanon sp. RNAcentral describes it as "partial 16S ribosomal RNA". It matches the Rfam family "Bacterial small subunit ribosomal RNA", at positions 341 to 792 of the family's 1533-position model. Lineage: Bacteria; Bacillati; Bacillota; Bacilli; Caryophanales; Caryophanaceae. The record is from RNAcentral.